This 1023-nucleotide ribosomal RNA is filed under the name uncultured Lecanicillium. RNAcentral describes it as "SSU rRNA". It matches the Rfam family "Eukaryotic small subunit ribosomal RNA", at positions 111 to 1145 of the family's 1831-position model. The record is from RNAcentral. Lineage: Eukaryota; Fungi; Ascomycota; Sordariomycetes; Hypocreales; Cordycipitaceae.
UAUCGUUUAUUUGAUAGUACCUUACUACUUGGAUAACCGUGGUAAUUCUAGAGCUAAUACAUGCUAAAAAUCCCGACUUUGGAAGGGAUGUAUUUAUUAGAUUAAAAACCAAUGCCCUCUGGGCUCCUUGGUGAUUCAUGAUAACUUUUCGAAUCGCACGGCCUUGCGCCGGCGAUGGUUCAUUCAAAUUUCUUCCCUAUCAACUUUCGAUGUUUGGGUAUUGGCCAAACAUGGUCGCAACGGGUAACGGAGGGUUAGGGCUCGACCCCGGAGAAGGAGCCUGAGAAACGGCUACUACAUCCAAGGAAGGCAGCAGGCGCGCAAAUUACCCAAUCCCGAUUCGGGGAGGUAGUGACAAUAAAUACUGAUACAGGGCUCUUUUGGGUCUUGUAAUUGGAAUGAGUACAAUUUAAAUCCCUUAACGAGGAACAAUUGGAGGGCAAGUCUGGUGCCAGCAGCCGCGGUAAUUCCAGCUCCAAUAGCGUAUAUUAAAGUUGUUGUGGUUAAAAAGCUCGUAGUUGAACCUUGGGCCUGGCUGGCCGGUCCGCCUCACCGCGUGUACUGGUCCGGCCGGGCCUUUCCCUCUGUGGAACCUCAUGCCCUUCACUGGGUGUGGCGGGGAAACAGGACUUUUACUUUGAAAAAAUUAGAGUGCUCCAGGCAGGCCUAUGCUCGAAUACAUUAGCAUGGAAUAAUGAAAUAGGACGUGUGGUUCUAUUUUGUUGGUUUCUAGGACCGCCGUAAUGAUUAAUAGGGACAGUCGGGGGCAUCAGUAUUCAAUUGUCAGAGGUGAAAUUCUUGGAUUUAUUGAAGACUAACUACUGCGAAAGCAUUUGCCAAGGAUGUUUUCAUUAAUCAGGAACGAAAGUUAGGGGAUCGAAGACGAUCAGAUACCGUCGUAGUCUUAACCAUAAACUAUGCCGACUAGGGAUCGGACGAUGUUAUUUUUUGACGCGUUCGGCACCUUACGAGAAAUCAAAGUGCUUGGGCUCCAGGGGGAGUAUGGUCGCAAGGCUGAAACUU